This is a long non-coding RNA of Helianthus annuus (common sunflower), 289 nucleotides long. RefSeq lists it as uncharacterized. The transcript is spliced from 3 exons. The record is from RefSeq and is a predicted model, not a curated record. Lineage: Eukaryota; Viridiplantae; Streptophyta; Magnoliopsida; Asterales; Asteraceae.
GUUCAGGAGCUCCAAAGAGCCAAAACCCUAACUCAACUAUAACCAUCAAAUUGAAGGGUGAAUCAAGGCUUAAAUUCACAACUAAACAUGGAUUAAUGAUCACCUUUACAAGGGGAUCAUAAGUAUAGGGAUCAUGUCAAGAUGGAUGGAAGCAUGGAAGGCUAACGGGUCAAAAGGAGGCGAGGAAACGGAUGCGAAUACGGACACUUAAGGUUAAUCAGAUAUUCAUGAUGGGCAUGUGAACGAGGAUCAAGUUGAAGAUCAUGGAUUGUACGGGAAAGUGGUCACG